UGGAAGACGUGGGCUUGAGUUGGUCCUUGAGGGAACAUGACCAUGUAUAGACAGAGGAGGCAUCAAGAAGGCUGGCCUGGCUAAUUCUGGAAUAAACACGACAAACCAGAGGCAGUACGGGAAGGAGGCAAAUUCUGGCUCUGCCUCUAUCCUUGAUUACCCCGGAAGCUUUCGAGAAGCUGGGAUUCCCUGCAGCAAAGGAAAUAGCCAAUAUGUGUCGUUUCUAUGAAAUGAAGCCAGACCGAGAUGUCAAUCUCACCCACCAACUAAAUCCCAAAGUCAAAAGCUUCAGCCAGUUUAUCUCAGAGAACCAGGGAGCCUUCAAGGGCA
Molecule: long non-coding RNA, 330 nt
Organism: Homo sapiens (human)
Lineage: Eukaryota; Metazoa; Chordata; Mammalia; Primates; Hominidae
Gene: NMRAL2P
Product: NmrA like redox sensor 2, pseudogene
Source: Ensembl